UUUAAACAGCCAGGGAGUCAAGAUUUACUUCUGUACAGCCCUGGGACCAACCUUGAUAUGUGCAACUGGCACUAGAUGGGGGCUGAAGCUUUGCAGUGAAAGCGCUAGCACUCCCAUUGUUCUCGUGAGGGAAAAGUAUUUUCUAGAUUGAAGCUCAGGUCAUGAUCUCGUGAUUGGUGAGUUUCAGCCCCACAUCAGGCUCCAUGCUGACAGUGCAGAGCCUGUUUGGGAUUCUCUUUCUCUCUCUGCCCCUCCCCGCCUCAAAAUGAAUAAAAAACUUUAAAAAUAAAAAUCAUUUAAAAUAUCAAAAUAUGUCAUGUAUGUGAUAGGUUGCUAGAGGGUACCUCACCUAGGUGAACCUUGAAUCAGGUGAACCUGUAUUAAAUAAGAGUUAUCUACCAUAUACUAUGUAUUAUGUCAGGCUGAAUAAGAAUUAUGUAAGAACAAGGUGAAAGCCAUACAAAGUAACAAGUGUUUUAAUAAAGUAAUGUGAGAUCAUACAAUUAAAAAUACCCACUUUAAAUCAAAUGAAAUAAAUAUUGGAAAUGGGUAUUUAACACCAAA
Molecule: long non-coding RNA, 564 nt
Organism: Neofelis nebulosa (Clouded leopard)
Lineage: Eukaryota; Metazoa; Chordata; Mammalia; Carnivora; Felidae
Exons: 2
Source: RefSeq, a predicted model, not a curated record